Molecule: ribosomal RNA, 216 nt
Filed under: Glomeromycotina sp.
Lineage: Eukaryota; Fungi; Glomeromycota
Description: partial small subunit ribosomal RNA
Rfam family: Eukaryotic small subunit ribosomal RNA (bases 75-216)
Source: RNAcentral
GGGUCAGUAGGUUGGUCGUGCCACCGGUACGUACUGGUCUCACUGAUUCCUCCUUCCUGAGGAACCGUAACGCCAUUAAUUUGGUGUUGCGGGGAAACAGGACUGUUACUUUGAGAAAAUUAGAGUGUUUAAAGCAAGCUAACGCUUGGAUACAUUAGCAUGGAAUAAUGAAAUAGGACGAUCGAUCCUAUUUUGUUGGUUUCUAGGAUUGACGUA